UAGGGAAAGCAUGGGCUUGCUCUAAAAGGCCUCAAAAGGACAUCCGAGAAGAACAGUAGUGCUCAUGUUGAAGAACCAAAUGCAAACCAGGAGAAAAUUUCUAUAGCGAACCAUGAGAUGCUAGCUUUAAAAGAGGAAGGCAAGCAGGGCAAAGGUGUUCCAAGGAAUAG
Molecule: long non-coding RNA, 170 nt
Organism: Zingiber officinale
Lineage: Eukaryota; Viridiplantae; Streptophyta; Magnoliopsida; Zingiberales; Zingiberaceae
Exons: 2
Source: RefSeq, a predicted model, not a curated record